AUUGAACGCUGGCGGCAGGCCUAACACAUGCAAGUCGAGCGGAUGAAGGGAGCUUGCUCCUGGAUUCAGCGGCGGACGGGUGAGUAAUGCCUAGGAAUCUGCCUGGUAGUGGGGGAUAACGUCCGGAAACGGGCGCUAAUACCGCAUACGUCCUGAGGGAGAAAGUGGGGGAUUUUCGACCCUCCCGCUAUCAGAUGAGCCUAGGCCGGAUUAGCUAGUUGGUGGGGUAAAGGCCUACCAAGGCGACGAUCCGUAACUGGUCUGAGAGGAUGAUCAGUCACACUGGAACUGAGACACGGUCCAGACUCCUACGGGAGGCAGCAGUGGGGAUAUUGGACAAUGGGCGAAAGCCUGAUCCAGCCAUGCCGCGUGUGUGAAGAAGGUCUUCGGAUUGUAAAGCACUUUAAGUUGGGAGGAAGGGCAGUAAGUUAAUACCUUGCUGUUUUGACGUUACCAACAGAAUAAGCACCGGCUAACUUCGUG
Molecule: ribosomal RNA, 483 nt
Filed under: uncultured bacterium
Lineage: Bacteria
Description: partial 16S ribosomal RNA
Rfam family: Bacterial small subunit ribosomal RNA
Source: RNAcentral